Molecule: ribosomal RNA, 253 nt
Filed under: uncultured bacterium
Lineage: Bacteria
Description: partial 16S ribosomal RNA
Rfam family: Bacterial small subunit ribosomal RNA
Source: RNAcentral
UACGAAGGGUGCAAGCGUUGCUCGGAAUUAUUGGGCGUAAAGGGUAGGUAGGUGGUUACGUAUGUCUGGGGUGAAAUCCCUGAGCUUAACUCAGGAAGUGCCUUGGAAACGGCGUAACUAGAGUACUGGAGAGGUUCGCAGAAUUCUUGGUGUAGCGGUGAAAUGCGUAGAGAUCAAGAGGAAUACCAGAGGCGAAGGCGGCGAACUGGACAGUAACUGACACUCAACUACGAAAGCGUGGGGAGCAAACAGG